RNAcentral lists this long non-coding RNA (1445 nucleotides) under Cricetulus griseus (Chinese hamster). RNAcentral's name for it is "lncRNA (ENSCGRG00015029171.1)". The record is from RNAcentral. Lineage: Eukaryota; Metazoa; Chordata; Mammalia; Rodentia; Cricetidae.
CCAGAUGGAGUUUGAAGUGUUCAGUCACAUUGGAACAAUCACCCCAGCAGUGGGGUGCAGCAGAAGUCGUGGAGUGGGUAGUGCUAUGGGGCUGGCAUGGUGCCUGGGGGAACCUAAAAGAGAAAAUUUCAGUUAGAGGUGGGGUCUCCCAUGAUGGAGGAGUUCCCUUGUGUUCCUCGCCCCCUCACUGAGGAGAAACCUGGCUCUAGAGGUCAGAUGAGAUGAGAGAACCAGUUUCCAUGGCAACCUGGAAAAAAGCCAUCCUCCAACCUUCCCCUCAAGAGGCAGCCUGGUUCAGGUGGUAAAGGGGGGCAUGCUGUGGCACCUGAGUAAGUCUACAAUGGACACCAAUCCAUGAUCCUGCUUCUGACUGGACCCAGAGUAGGCUCAGUUACAGCAGACACCCACAGCCAAGCCAGCCUUAGUUCUGACCCCAGGGCAUUGGACCCUAGGCCUUCAGCUCUGCUUCCUUCCACCCAGGAGUUCCUCCCCAACCUUAACUAGACACCAGAUAGUCAACCCCACCCUUUGGACUCUGACCCUUCCUGUUCCCUUAGGCUGGUAUAGGCAGGUCCUGGCAAGUGGCACAGGUGGCCAGACAAGAUGAACGGGCCCAACAGGGAGGAGCCUUCCUUGCAACAACUGUGACUCUGGGCCUGAGCGGGGGAAGUAGCCUCUGCAGCAGGCUCCCUCCAUGUCACCUCCAAUGCCAUAUCCUGUUUCCCCAUCACCUCCUUCCUCUGUGUGGCCCAAGAAGGUGACAGGGACCCACCCCCUCCCUUUCCAGUCCUUAGAUACAAAGAGCUAGGUCUAUUGAUACAAGUCUAGGGACAAGAAUCAGGUGUUGAUACAGGGGUCAGAUCUCAGUCAACCCUCACCUCAGACUCACUCCUCAAGGACCUAUGUUUUCCAUUCUCCUGGCCCCAAGACCCAGACACUUGGGCUCUCUGCCUGGCCUCUCCAUUUCCUGGCAUUCCAGCCCCCAUCUUUCCCCCUGCUCCAGAGACUUAGGCCUCUGGCCCCCAGUCUCCAUGAUGCAAUGUGCUGCAAGCUUUUGUAGCUGCUGAUGACACCGCCCCCAGGGAGGUGUUAUUUCUGACCUAAGCAAGGCCCUUAAGGGGCAGUGGUCAGCUGCAGGCUGAGAAAGCCAGAUUGCCAAGGUCCUUCUGCUGGAGAAAAAUGCUAGAGGCUGCAACCCUUCAGGACAGGGAGGCAAAUUCAGGACUAAGGUGCUUCCUCAGCAGUUGACAGCAUUUGUGGAGGGCGAAGAAGCCGCUGACUGGCUAAGUUUCCUGGGAAAAUAACUAUAGGAAUUCUGGGAACCCCAAAAGGAGACGAAGGAGGGAACCCAGGAGUCCUGCCUUUAUCUAUAUUAACCCCAGCAGGACUAAUCCUAGGGAAUCCGGUCAUUCGCCUGCCUCCUCCUCUCCGCCUCCAGCCUUGAC